This 253-nucleotide ribosomal RNA is filed under the name uncultured bacterium. RNAcentral's name for it is "partial 16S ribosomal RNA". It matches the Rfam family "Bacterial small subunit ribosomal RNA", at positions 524 to 776 of the family's 1533-position model. The record is from RNAcentral.
UACAUGUGGGGCAAGCGUUGUUCGGAAUUACUGGGCAUAAAGGGUGCGUAGGCGGUCUGUUAAGUCACCGGUGAAAGUUUGCGGCCCAACCGUAAAAGUGCCGGUGAUACUGGCGGACUUGAGUGCGUGAGGGGUAGGGGGAACGAGCAGUGUAGCGGUGAAAUGCGUAGAUAUCAGGAGGAACACCUGCGGUGUAGACGGCUUUCUGGACCAUUGCUGACGCUGAGACACGAAAGCGUGGGUAGCAAACAGG